RNAcentral lists this long non-coding RNA (525 nucleotides) under Elaeis guineensis (African oil palm). RNAcentral's name for it is "long non-coding RNA (EGUI_LNC071566)". The record is from RNAcentral. Lineage: Eukaryota; Viridiplantae; Streptophyta; Magnoliopsida; Arecales; Arecaceae.
AGGCACCACACGCCUACUGAAGGGAUGUUUGGGGCAAAACUUAUUGCUAAAAGUUGUUAGGAGAAACAAUUGGUUAUGAACCUACCUGUUGGGUAUAAAAUACCCCCAGUCGAAGUUUGUAAAAGGCCAACCCUUCCAGGGCUCUUCCGGCUUCCGACCUUGUGUGGCAUCUUUCUGAACUCCCUCGACCGUCCGAGCUUCCAUAAUACCAUCUGGACUUCUUCGAUAAUGAGCUCCUCCAUUCAUAUACCGGGCUGCUCCAAAUGCUUUUCGAGCUUCACUAUCAGUCAAUUUUCUACAGUGAUCGACUAUUCUCCGAAUCUCUUCCAGACUCCUUCCGACCAUGAAUGACUUUACUACGAACUUCUUCCGGGCUUCGUCAAUGUCGAGCUUCUCCAACAGUAGGACUUCUAUAGUAACCAGACUCCAUCCAAAUUUCUACGGUGGUCGAUCGCCUUUCGAAUUUCAUCCGAGCUCCUACAAGAGCUAGAUCCCAGCCGAACUUCUACAGCAGAUGGAUUCGAG